AACGUAGGAGGCAAGCGUUAUCCGGAUUUACUGGGCGUAAAGCGCGUGUAGGCGGUUCGGCAAGUUGGAUGUGAAAGCUCCUGGCUUAACUAGGAGAGGUCGUUCAAUACUACCGAACUUGAGGUCAUCAGAGGAGAGUGGAAUUCCCGGUGUAGUGGUGAAAUGCGUAGAUAUCGGGAGGAACACCAGUGGCGAAAGCGGCUCUCUGGGAUGAUCCUGACGCUCAGACGCGAAAGCUAGGGUAGCAAACGGG
This 253-nucleotide ribosomal RNA is filed under the name uncultured bacterium. Its description in RNAcentral is "partial 16S ribosomal RNA". It matches the Rfam family "Bacterial small subunit ribosomal RNA", at positions 524 to 776 of the family's 1533-position model. RNAcentral also lists the same sequence under 1 other name. The record is from RNAcentral.